This 6541-nucleotide long non-coding RNA is filed under the name Erythranthe guttata (spotted monkey flower). Its description in RNAcentral is "long non-coding RNA (EGUT_LNC002572)". The record is from RNAcentral. Lineage: Eukaryota; Viridiplantae; Streptophyta; Magnoliopsida; Lamiales; Phrymaceae.
CAUAUAGUUAUAAUUCAUUAUUCAUGAUGCAUGAUCACGACUACUUGCUACACAUGUGCCUUAAUUGUGUUUUAAUACGUGAUCGAAUACUUUUCUUAAACAGUGAUAAUACAUGAUACAUGUUAUUGAACUUCUACUUUAUGAUUUAACAUUAACUUAAAUGAUUUAUUGUAGUGAGAAGUUAAGUUUCUCGCUAAACGGUGAUAUAUUUGUCUUAGAUGCAUUUCUGCAUUUUAAUUAUGUUUUAAUAUGAUUAAUUACAUAUGUAAUUAUUUGAAGUAACUCAUAUUAGACUAAAACCAAAAGUAUGCAAAAGGGUGCAUUUUGAUUGGUUGGUUGACUAGGUUGCACGAGACCAUUCUGAAAUUGUUUACACUUGAUUAUAAUGAGUAAGCAUCAGCCCAUAUCUUAUCUCAAGCUAUAAAAACGUGGAGGAACCACAAGAAUCCAGCAAAUACAAGCCUUCCAAUCACCAUCCUCCAUUUGGUCUUGUUGGGAAUGGGUAGAUAAGUGAAGACUUUGUGUUUUGGUCUUCAUUUUCACUUGUCUUCUUCCAAAAACGACCAGACCUAUUUCCUUAAUCUUGUCUUCAUAUUUCUUCACUUCCGUACUUACAUAAGAGAGCAUCAAACCAUAAAAAUCAUAGAAGUAGAGCUAGAACAAGUUCUGCCCCUUUUCUAGCUGAAAAUCCUAUGUUUUGAAGUUGAAUUCAUCUCUAAUCAAGGCUUCUAGCACACCUUAUCUAAGACUAAUCCUUUCAUUUCAUAAACCAUUAUUGAUCUUGAGGUAAGUUGAAGCUUUCAUUUUCACAUCGUAAGAACCUAAUUAUGUGCGCUUUAAUGUGACUUUUGCUAUGUAUUCUCUAUGAUGUUUGAAUGAUUGAUGAGUCAUAGUGAUAUGAAAGAAUAUGUUUUGAAAAUGGGAGUAUGGUACUUGAUUGAUGGUCGAGUAGGCAAGGGACGCGGGAGGAACCGGCGGACCCAACACAUGGUGGCAAAUACCUGAGGUCGAAAGACCAGUAUGGAAAACCCACAAUUAAAGAAAUGAAAUACGGCUAAUACCUGAGGUCGAAAGGCCGGUAUGGAAACCCCCGUAUUAUCUAUUGGCCAAAUUUGAUGAACAGGUUCCAAAAAUCAAAGUCUAUUGCUAUCAGUCAAGUACCACACUUCAAGGGUACCCGAUAAAGAGAAGGAUUUCAAAGAAAAGGAUCACGAAUGAAGUUAUAGAUGUGAUAUUGUACUUAUUGAAUGGAUAAUGUGUUAUGUGAUUGAUAUAUUGCUAUUACAUCAGUUUCAACUUGCUGAGCCAUUAGCUCAUUAGGUUCUUAUGAUGCAGGUAAUGAUGUACAUGUUUAGAAGUUGACCUAGCCAAGAGCGGCUAGUCAGAUAUUUGUUCAUAUGCCAUGCUUCGAGCCAUUUUUGUAGCCGAGCAGAAACUCUGAUUUCAUUUUGUUAGCCGCUCUAUUAUGGUUUUUGUACAAUGUAAUUUUGUAAACAAUGAAUAUAUAUAUGUACGGAUUUUGAGAAAGUACUAAGUUUGAUUUCUUUUCAAAGCAUAUAACGUAUUUUUGUAUUAAAACCAUAAUGUUUAAGUAUAUAUAUAAAAAGCUUAGCAUCCCUAACUUAAUGGCGGUGAUCCGAUUGGAUUCUGCUGUUAGGUUGUGCGGUGUUACAUUUUUGGUAUCAGAGCGGAGGUUUAAAAUCUUUUCUGAAGACAGAAGAAGGCAUAUGAACAUACUUUGGCUGGGAAGCUAGGUUAACUCUUUUCUUAUUUACCUAUGUGUUUAAUUUAUAUGUUGCAUAGCAAAUAUCCAGAAUUGUUCGGUACGUCAAAUUUCGAGGGCGAAAUUUUAUAAGGAGGGAAGAAUUGUAAUGCCCAACCAUCCAUACAUGGCCAAUAAUAAGCAUAUUGCAUCAAUGCAUAUAGUUAUAAUUCAUUAUUCAUGAUGCAUGAUCACGACUACUUGCUACACAUGUGCCUUAAUUGUGUUUUAAUACGUGAUCGAAUACUUUUCUUAAACUGUGAUAAUAUAUGAUACAUGUUAUUGAACUUCUACUUUAUGAUUUAACAUUAACUUAAAUGAUUUAUUGUAGUGAGAAGUUAAGUUUCUCGCUAAACGGUGAUAUAUUUGUCUUAGAUGCAUUUCUGCAUUUUAAUUAUGAUUAAUUACAUAUGUAAUUAUUUGAAGUAACUCAUACUAGACUAAAACCAAAAGUAUGCAAAAUGGUGCAUUUUGAUUGGUUGGUUGACUAGGUUGCACGAGACCAUUCUGAAAUUGUUUACACUUGAUUAUAAUGAGUAUGCAUCAGCCCAUUUCUUAUCUCAAGCUAUAAAAACGUGGAGGAACCACAAGAAUCCAGCAAAUACAAGCCUUCCAAUCACCAUCCUCCAUUUGGCCUUGUUGGGAAUGGGUAGAUAAGUGAAGACUUUGUGUUUUGGUCUUCAUUUUCACUUGUCUUCUUCCAAAAAUGACCAGACCUAUUUCCUUAAUUUUGUCUUCAUAUUUCUUCACUUCCAUACUCACAUAAGAGAGCAUCAAACCAUAAAAACUCAUAGAAGUAGAGCUAGAACAAGUUCUGCACCUUUUCUAGCUGAAAAUCCUAUGUUUUGAAGUUGAAUUCAUCUCUAAUCAAGGCUUCUAGCACACCUUAUCUAAAACUGAUCCUUUCAUUUCAUAAACCAUUAUUGAUCUUGAGGUAAGUUGAAGCUUUCAUUUGCACAUCGUAAGAACCUAAUUAUGUGCGCUUUAAUGUGACUUUUGCUAUGUAUUCUCUAUAAUGUUUGAAUGAUUGAUGAGUCAUAGUGAUAUGAAAGAAUAUGUUUUGAAAAUGGGAGUAUGGUACUUGAUUGAUGGUCGAGUAGGCAAGGGACGCAGGAGGAACCGGCGGACCCAACACAUGGUGGCAAAUACCUGAGGUCGAAAGACCAGUAUGGAAAACCCACAAUUAAAGAAAUGAAAUACGGCUAAUACCUGAGGUCGAAAGGCCGGUAUGGAAACCCCCGUAUUAUCUAUUGGCCAAAUUUGAUGAACAGGUUCCGAAAAUCAAAGUCUAUUGCUAUCAGUCAAGUACCACACUUCAAGGGUACCCGAUAAAGAGAAGGAUUUCAAAGAAAAGGAUCACGAAUGAAGUUAUAGAUGUGAUAUUGUACUUAUUGAAUAGAUAAUGUGUUAUGUGAUUGAUAUAUUGCUAUUACAUCAGUUUCAACUUGCUGAGCCAUUAGCUCAUUAGGUUCUUAUGAUGCAGGUAAUGAUGUACAUGUUUAGAAGUUGACCUAGCCAAGAGCGGCCAGUCAGAUAUUUGUUCAUAUGCCAUGCUUCGAGCCAUUUUUGUAGCCGAGCAGAAACUCUGAUUUCAUUUUGUUAGCCGCUCUAUUAUGGUUUUUGUACAAUGUAAUUUUGUAAACAAUGAAUAUAUAUAUGUACGGAUUUUGAGAAAGUACAAAGUUUGAUUUCUUUUCAAAGCAUAUAACGUAUUUUUGUAUUAAAACCAUAAUGUUUAAGUAUAUAUAUAAAAAGCUUAGCAUCCCUAACUUAAUGGCGGUGAUCCGAUUGGAUUCUGCUGUUAGGUUGUGCGGUGUUACAUUUUUGGUAUCAGAGCGGAGGUUUAAAAUCUUUUCUGAAGACAGAAGAAGGCAUAUGAACAUACUUUGGCUGGGAAGCUUGGUUAACUCUUUUCUUAUUUACCUAUGUGUUUAAUUUAUAUGUUGCAUAGCAAAUAUCCAGAAUUGUUCGGUACGUCAAAUUUCGAGGGCGAAAUUUUAUAAGGAGGGAAGAAUUGUAAUGCCCAACCAUCCAUACAUGGCCAAUAAUAAGCAUAUUGCAUCAAUGCAUAUAGUUAUAAUUCAUUAUUCAUGAUGCAUGAUCACGACUACUUGCUACACAUGUGCCUUAAUUGUGUUUUACUACGUGAUCGAAUACUUUUCUUAAACUGUGAUAAUACAUGAUACAUGUUAUUGAACUUCUACUUUAUGAUUUAACAUUAACUUAAAUGAUUUAUUGUAGUGAGAAGUUAAGUUUCUCGCUAAACGGUGAUAUAUUUGUCUUAGAUGCAUUUCCGCAUUUUAAUUAUGUUUUAAUAUGAUUAAUUACAUAUGUAAUUAUUUGAAGUAACUCAUAUUAGACUAAAACCAAAAGUAUGCAAAAUGGUGCAUUUUGAUUGGUUGGUUGACUAGGUUGCACGAGACCAUUCUGAAAUUGUUUACACUUGAUUAUAAUGAGUAUGCAUCAGCCCAUAUCUUAUCUCAAGCUAUAAAAACGUGGAGGAACCACAAGAAUCCAGCAAAUAAAAGCCUUCCAAUCACCAUCCUCCAUUUGGCCUUGUUGGGAAUGGGUAGAUAAGUGAAGACUUUGUGUUUUGGUCUUCAUUUUCACUUGUCUUCUUCCAAAAACGACCAGACCGAUUUCCUUAAUCUUGUCUUCAUAUUUCUUCACUUCCAUACUCACAUAAGAGAGCAUCAAACCAUAAAAACUCAUAGAAGUAGAGCUAGAACAAGUUCUGCACCUUUUCUAGCUGAAAAUCCUAUGUUUUGAAGUUGAAUUCAUCUCUAAUCAAGGCUUCUAGCACACCUUAUCUAAAACUGAUCCUUUCAUUUCAUAAACCAUUAUUGAUCUUGAGGUAAGUUGAAGCUUUCAUUUGUACAUCGUAAGAACCUAAUUAUGUGCGCUUUAAUGUGACUUUUGCUAUGUAUUCUCUAUGAUGUUUGAAUGAUUGAUGAGUCAUAGUGAUAUGAAAGAAUAUGUUUUGAAAAUGGGAGUAUGGUAUUUGAUUGAUGGUCGAGUAGGCAAGGGACGCGGGAGGAACCGGCGGACCCAACACAUGGUGGCAAAUACCUGAGGUCGAAAGACCAGUAUGGAAAACCCACAAUUAAAGAAAUGAAAUACGGCUAAUACCUUAGGUCGAAAGGCCGGUAUGGAAACCCACGUAUUAUCUAUUGGCCAAAUUUGAUGAACAGGUUCCGAAAAUCAAAGUCUAUUGCUAUCAGUCAAGUACCACACUUCAAGGGUACCCGAUAAAGAGAAGGAUUUCAAAGAAAAGGAUCACGAAUGAAGUUAUAGAUGUGAUAUUGUACUUAUUGAAUGGAUAAUGUGUUAUGUGAUUGAUAUAUUGCUAUUACAUCAGUUUGAACUUGCUGAGCCAUUAGCUCAUUAGGUUCUUAUGAUGCAGGUAAUGAUGUACAUGUUUAGAAGUUGACCUAGCCAAGAGCAGCCAGUCAGAUAUUUGUUCAUAUGCCAUGCUUCGAGCCAUUUUUGUAGCCGAGCAGAAACUCUGAUUUCAUUUUGUUAGCCGCUCUAUUAUGGUUUUUGUACAAUGUAAUUUUGUAAACAAUGAAUAUAUAUAUGUACAUAUUUUGAGAAAGUACAAAGUUUGAUUUCUUUUCAAAGCAUAUAACGUAUUUUUAUAUUAAAACCAUAAUGUUUAAGUAUAUAUAUAUAUAAAAAGCUUAGCAUCCCUAACUUAAUGGCGGUGAUCCGAUUGGAUUCUGCUGUUAGGUUGUGCGGUGUUACAUUUUUGGUAUCAGAGCGGAGGUUUAAAAUCUUUUCUGAAGACAGAAGAAGGCAUAUGAACAUACUUUGGCUGGGAAGCUUGGUUAACUCUUUUCUUAUUUACCUAUGUGUUUAAUUUAUAUGUUGCAUAGCAAAUAUCCAGAAUUGUUCGGUACGUCAAAUUUCGAGGGCGAAAUUUUAUAAGGAGGGAAGAAUUGUAAUGCCCAACCAUCCAUACAUGGCCAACAAUAAGCAUAUUGCAUCAAUGCAUAUAGUUAUAAUUCAUUAUUCAUGAUGCAUGAUCACGACUACUUGCUACACAUGUGCCUUAAUUGUGUUUUAAUACGUGAUCGAAUACUUUUCUUAAACUGUGAUAAUACAUGAUACAUGUUAUUGAACUUCUACAUUAUGAUUUAACAUUAACUUAAAUGAUUUAUUGUAGUGAGAAGUUAAGUUUCUCGGUAAACGGUGAUAUAUUUGUCUUACAUGCAUUUCUGCAUUUUAAUUAUGUUUUAAUAUGAUUAAUUACAUAUGUAAUUAUUUGAAGUAACUCAUAUUAGACUAAAACCAAAAGUAUGCAAAAGGGUGCAUUUUGAUUGGUUGGUUGACUAGGGUUGUUUACACUUGAUUAUAAUGAGUAAGCAUCAGCCCAUAUCUUAUCUCAAGCUAUAAAAACGUGGAGGAACCACAAGAAUCCAGCAAAUACAAGCCUUCCAAUCACCAUCCUCCAUUUGGCCUUGUUGGGAAUGGGUAGAUAAGUGAAGACUUUGUGUUUUGGUCUUCAUUUUCACUUGUCUUCUUCCAAAAAUGACCAGACCUAUUUCCUUAAUUUUGUCUUCAUAUUUCUUCACUUCCAUACUCACAUAAGAGAGCAUCAAACCAUAAAAACUCAUAGAAGUAGAGCUAGAACAAGUUCUGCAACUUUUCUAGCUGAAAAUCCUAUGUUUUGAAGUUGAAUUCAUCUCUAAUCAAGGCUUCUAGCACACCUUAUCUAAGACUGAUCCUUUCAUUUCAUAAACCAUUAUUUAUCUUGAGGUAAGUUGAAGCUUUCAUUUG